AGUGAACGCUGGCGGUAGGCCUAACACAUGCAAGUCGAACGGCAGCACGGUGAGAGCUUGCUCUUACGGGUGGCGAGUGGCGGACGGGUGAGGAAUACAUCGGAAUCUACUUUUUCGUGGGGGAUAACGUAGGGAAACUUACGCUAAUACCGCAUACGACCUACGGGUGAAAGCAGGGGAUCUUCGGACCUUGCGCGAUUGAAUGAGCCGAUGUCGGAUUAGCUAGUUGGCGGGGUAAAGGCCCACCAAGGCGACGAUCCGUAGCUGGUCUGAGAGGAUGAUCAGCCACACUGGAACUGAGACACGGUCCAGACUCCUACGGGAGGCAGCAGUGGGGAAUAUUGGACAAUGGGCGCAAGCCUGAUCCAGCCAUACCGCGUGGGUGAAGAAGGCCUUCGGGUUGUAAAGCCCUUUUGUUGGGAAAGAAAAGCAGCAGGUUAAUACCCCGCUGUUCUGACGGUACCCAAAGAAUAAGCACCGGCUAACUUCGUG
RNAcentral lists this ribosomal RNA (492 nucleotides) under uncultured bacterium. Its description in RNAcentral is "partial 16S ribosomal RNA". It matches the Rfam family "Bacterial small subunit ribosomal RNA", at positions 29 to 507 of the family's 1533-position model. The record is from RNAcentral.